AUUGAACGCUGGCGGCAGGCCUAACACAUGCAAGUCGAGCGAGCGGCGGACGGGUGAGUAAUGUAUGGGGACUGCCCGAAAGAGGGGGAUAACUACUGGAAACGGUGGCUAAUACCGCAUACUGUCGGAUAACCCAUAUGGGAUUAGCUAGUAGGUCAGGUAAUGGCUUACCUAGGCGACGAUCCCUAACUGGUUUGAGAGGAUGUUCAGCCACACUGGGACUGAAGCAAGGGCGAGACUGCUACGGAGGGAGCAGUGGGGAAUAUUGCACAAUGGGCACAAGCCUGAUGAAGCCAUGCCGAGUGUAUGAAGAAGGCCCUAGGGUUGGAAAGUACUAUCAGUCGGGAGGCGUUACUCACAGAAGAAGCACCGGCUAACUCCGUGCCAGCAGCCGCGGUAAUAC
RNAcentral lists this ribosomal RNA (403 nucleotides) under uncultured bacterium. Its description in RNAcentral is "partial 16S ribosomal RNA". It matches the Rfam family "Bacterial small subunit ribosomal RNA", at positions 30 to 526 of the family's 1533-position model. The record is from RNAcentral.